CCCGCUGAACUUAAGCAUAUUACUAAGCGGUGGAAAAGAAACUAACUAGGAUUCCCAUAGUAAUGGCGAAUGAAGUGGGAACAGCUCAGGUUUGAAAUCCGGCGGCCUCGCCGCCUGAAUUGUAGUCUUUGGUCCGGGCAUGGAGGAGGCGGUCAGCAUAAGUCUCUUGGAACGGAGCGCCAUAGAGGGUGAUAGCCCCGUGCAUGGCUGACGAUCAAGCCCCCUCGUACCUUGUUCGGAUUUAGAGUCGGGUUGUUUGGGAAUGCAGCCUGAAAGGGGUGGUAAAUUCCAUCUAAGGCUAAGUAAUGGUUGGAGACCGAUAGCGAACAAGUAGCGCGAGCGAAAGAUGAAAAGUAGCCAGAAAUGGCGGUCAAAAGUGCUUGAAAUUGUUAAAAGGGAAACGUUUGGAGCCAGUAUUGACGCGCGGACGAGUCGGGCUCGCGCGGGUGUCGCUGGUUCGUCGAGGAGGCUCCCAUCGGGUCACUCGGCGGCGCCAGCAGCGUCCGAGCAGGUCGUACUUCAGCUGCGUGUUGGCCAGCAUCGGUUCGGCGAGUGGUAAAAGGGUGGCGGGAAGGUGAGGUCGCUUCGGCGGCCUGUUAAGACCGCUACUGAUGCCACUCGCGUGGACCGAGGCCUCGAAAGAGGGCAGCGUGUGCCUCGGCUGGGCUCUGGCUGUUCAUCUGGGGUGGGUGCGUGCGGGACUGGUACAGUGCCGUGUGUGCUCGCCUUUGACUGGGCGGCCAUUCCACAUACACGCUCAAGAUACUGGCAAAAUGGCUCCAAACGACCCGUCUUGAAACACGG
Molecule: ribosomal RNA, 804 nt
Filed under: uncultured fungus
Lineage: Eukaryota; Fungi
Description: eukaryotic LSU rRNA
Rfam family: Eukaryotic large subunit ribosomal RNA
Source: RNAcentral